GGCAUUUCGCUGAGAUGCUUCAGCUCCUGCUCACUCUCAGCCACUGUGCUGUGUCUCUGCCACCAUGACACGGAACAGCUUUCACCAAAAAAGGAAGAAUCAACACUUUCAGAGAUGGAGCCUGUUGAGCCACAGUACCAACUAGUCAAUGCUGAAUCGACUUCUCCCUUUCUACAUUGCCUGAGAGAAGUCAUUGGGGAAUACUCUAGAGUCAAGGGAUUGGAUUGUGGAUUGCAUUGGUGGUUUUCCUCAGUUUCCUCAUCUUCUCCACAAGUUUCUACAUAUCGAAUGCAGAGCAGCCCUUCUUCAAAGGACCUCCUACGGAAGCUGCUAAGGAACUCAGUCUGUAGCUCUGCGUGGAGCCAUGUGUAAACACUGAACUGAGACCUGCCACCUCCUACUACCUAAGGGCCCAUUUUCAUCUGAUAUCAUCCCCCAGAAACAAACUCAUGAUGACUUCCAUGUUUUUUUUAGAUUAGAUACAUGGAGAAUUUUCCUUUCCCUUAGAAUUAAAAUCCUGCAUUCUAA
Molecule: long non-coding RNA, 528 nt
Organism: Homo sapiens (human)
Lineage: Eukaryota; Metazoa; Chordata; Mammalia; Primates; Hominidae
Product: long intergenic non-protein coding RNA 943
Source: Ensembl